UACGUAGGCAGCGAGCGUUGUUCGGAGUUACUGGGCGUAAAGGGUGCGUAGGCGGUUGUUUAAGUUUGGUGUGAAAUCUCCCGGCUCAACUGGGAGGGUGCGCCGAAUACUGAAUGACUCGAGUGCGGGAGAGGAGAGUGGAAUUCCUGGUGUAGCGGUGAAAUGCGUAGAUAUCAGGAGGAACACCGGUGGUGUAGACGGCUCUCUGGACCGUAACUGACGCUGAGGCACGAAAGCGUGGGUAGCAAACAGG
RNAcentral lists this ribosomal RNA (253 nucleotides) under uncultured bacterium. RNAcentral describes it as "partial 16S ribosomal RNA". It matches the Rfam family "Bacterial small subunit ribosomal RNA", at positions 524 to 776 of the family's 1533-position model. The record is from RNAcentral.